GCACGCUCGUGUUGCUGCAGUUCCCACUUCCGCUGAGCCGCACCUGCCCGCCCGCGGAUUACGCAUCUCGCCGCCCCAUGGCCGAUCUCCACCCGCCGGAGUCAGGCACCAACGGCUUGGGUGCCGGAGCGGUCGCGGGCGCCGCCGUGUUGCCUACCGGGGAAGCCGCCGCCGUCGCCGAGGCCGCAGUCGCUGGAGGAGCGCAGGCACUGGCCCCGCCCUACUCCAAGCGGCGCCGCCGCCCCAGCGUCCGCCUCGGGGAAAUCGACGCCCCGCCCCCGCGCCGCAACCACAAGACCUCCUCCUCCGCCCACCCCCGCCCGCCGCGCCGCGCGCACCCGGAGGACGGCGGCCAUGACCCGCACCACCGCCGGGGCCCACCGAAGCCGCCCGCUCAGCGACGCCCGCGCACCGCGUGGACUCCGGCGGCUCCCUCUGGCGCAGAGGGCUACGAGGAAGAUGAAGAGCACUACUACGACGACGCAGACCAGUCGGAUUCCGCCGCCGCCGCAGCUAGGGCUAGGGUUUCCGGCAGCCGCGAGGGCAGCGGCGACGAGUCGGACGGCGUGGCGGACUGGGGUCUCCCGAACGGCCGGCUCCCCUCCGCGACGGGCUACAGCGGCGUGAAGGCGUGGCUGGAUGGGCUAGGGCUUGCCCGGUACGCUCCCGUGUUCGAGAUCCAUGAGGUGGACGAUGAGGUACUCCCUCUGCUAACAUUGGAGGAUCUCAAGGACAUGGGCAUCGGGGCUGUUGGGUCCAGGAGGAAGAUGUAUGCCGCCAUCCAGAAGCUCCGGAGGAGCGACGGUAUCUCCUGAGUUGGUAUAUAUUCUCCAAAUCAUGCAGGGACCGGGCUCUUUAUUUUGACCUUACCCAUCGUCUCAGAAAUCACCCGAAAGAUGAUUUGUAUGAAAUAUGUGCACCUCUUGAGCCUCCCUUAAGGCCAUUGCUUGACGCAUAUAGGAAAGUCAACGAGUGACCCCUAUCAGGAAUUAUUCCAUGCCAAAUGGGUGCAGCUAUUCUUCGCCAAAUUCGCUUCCAAUAGAAAAGUCAACAUCAGUAGCUCCUGGUCAAGACAUGCUGGACGGCUUGAAGAAGGGUGCAAGGAAAUGAUGUGCUGAGGCAUUGAUACAUUGUAAGUUCAAAGAAUAGCGAGUGGAUCCUUUAGUUUAAAAAUCAUAGUUUUGGUCCUUUCGAAAUGUCACCUCCAAAUGUGAUGGUUGUCCUUUUGAAAUGUCACCUCCAAAUGUGAUGGUUCUCAGAUAUGAUAAUCUGGUACAUUUUGUCGUAAUUAUAAGUAUGCUAGGAUUAUUCA
Molecule: RNA transcript, 1312 nt
Organism: Phragmites australis (common reed)
Lineage: Eukaryota; Viridiplantae; Streptophyta; Magnoliopsida; Poales; Poaceae
Exons: 3
Source: RefSeq, a predicted model, not a curated record